CAAUAGCGUAUAUUAAAGUUGUUGCAGUUAAAAAGCUCGUAGUUGGAUUUCGUGGCAGCCUGGCUGGUCCGCCGCAAGGCGAGUACUGGUCAGCCGCCCUUCCUCUCGAAAGCCCCGACUGCUCUUCGUUGCAGUGGUCGGGUAGUUCGGGACGUUUACUUUGAAAAAAUUAGAGUGUUCAAGGCAGGCCUACGCCUGAAUACAUUAGCAUGGAAUAAUGGAAGAGGACCUCGGUCCUAUUUUGUUGGUUUCCAGGGCCGAAGUAAUGAUUAAGAGGGACAGUUGGGGGCAUUCGUAUUUAAUUGUCAGAGGUGAAAUUCUCGGAUUUAUGAAAGACGAACAACUGCGAAAGCAUUUGCCAAGGAUGUUUUCAUUAA
RNAcentral lists this ribosomal RNA (377 nucleotides) under uncultured eukaryote. Its description in RNAcentral is "partial 18S ribosomal RNA". It matches the Rfam family "Eukaryotic small subunit ribosomal RNA", at positions 592 to 976 of the family's 1831-position model. The record is from RNAcentral.